GCACAAGCGGUGGAGCAUGUGGUUUAAUUCGAAGCAACGCGAAGAACCUUACCAGGUCUUGACAUCCCCUGACAACCCGAGAGAUCGGGCGUUCCCCUUCGGGGGACAGGGUGACAGGGUGGUGCAUGGUUGUCGUCAGCUCGUGUCGUGAGAUGUUGGGUUAAGUCCCGCAACGAGCGCAACCCUCGACCUUAGUUGCCAGCAUUCAGUUGGGCACUCUAAGGUGACUGCCGGCUAAAAGUCGGAGGAAGGUGGGGAUGACGUCAAAUCAUCAUGCCCCUUAUGACCUGGGCUACACACGUGCUACAAUGGCUGGUACAAAGGGUUGCCAACCCGCGAGGGGGAGCCAAUCCCAUAAAGCCAGUCGUAGUCCGGAUCGUAGUCUGCAACUCGACUACGUGAAGUCGGAAUCGCUAGUAAUCGUGGAUCAGAAUGUCACGGUGAAUACGUUCCCGGGUCUU
RNAcentral lists this ribosomal RNA (461 nucleotides) under uncultured Anoxybacillus sp. Its description in RNAcentral is "bacterial SSU rRNA". It matches the Rfam family "Bacterial small subunit ribosomal RNA", at positions 923 to 1382 of the family's 1533-position model. The record is from RNAcentral. Lineage: Bacteria; Bacillati; Bacillota; Bacilli; Caryophanales; Anoxybacillaceae.